AUCGCCCUGCUGCCUAUGGACGUGGCAGACGCUCCGGAUGCCAUCUCCUGGCGCCUAGAUCCCUCCGGCCGCUUCUCCACCAAAUCCCUCUACGCGGCCAUUGCCCCCUCGUCGGCUCCGGAGCCCUUCGGCCUUAUCUGGGACAUUCGCCUCCCACUUAAGAUUCGGAUCUUUCUGUGGUAGUGGAUCCGCGGCCGCCUCCCGACCGGCGUGGAGGUCCUCAAGCGCCAUGGUCCUGGUGAUGGAAUGUGCCCCUUGUGUGCCACGGUUGAGGAUGCUAAUCACAUCUUCUUCUCGUGCUGCACGGCACAGUUUGGUCUUGUUUCCGCGAAACGGUUGGCGGACAGUGGUGCAAUACCAACUUCCCUGACUUGCUUGCCGAAAUUCAGGCCUCCCCCCCUCGCUACAGACAUAUUAGAUGGCUGUGCGUCGGGGUGCUGGCCUGGACCUUGUGGACGGUUCGCAAUAGGCUUGUCAUUCAGAAGGUGCCCCUUCGACGUGCGACUGACUCCAUUUUUAAAAUGUGUGGUUACUUGCAGCUCUGGCGGCCGCUUAGCCGCCCCCCGGACCGGGACGCCAUCGACAGACUCCUCACCGACCUCCAUUCGUUGGCCUUCCGCCUGGCACCUCCGCUCCCGCCGCCACCCCCGGAGCCCGACUAGUGGAUGA
RNAcentral lists this ribosomal RNA (669 nucleotides) under Triticum aestivum (bread wheat). RNAcentral's name for it is "partial small subunit ribosomal RNA". Lineage: Eukaryota; Viridiplantae; Streptophyta; Magnoliopsida; Poales; Poaceae. The record is from RNAcentral.